RNAcentral lists this ribosomal RNA (258 nucleotides) under uncultured bacterium. RNAcentral describes it as "partial 16S ribosomal RNA". It matches the Rfam family "Bacterial small subunit ribosomal RNA", at positions 98 to 354 of the family's 1533-position model. The record is from RNAcentral.
CGGCACGGGUGAGUAACACGUAUGCAACCUGCCUGCCACAGCCGGAUAAUCGGGAGAAAUUCCGUCUAAUACGGCAUAAUGCAUCGACGGGACAUCCUGUUGGUGCCAAAGGUUAAUUCCGGUGGCGGAUGGGCAUGCGUCGCAUUAGUUAGUUGGCGGUGUAACGGACCACCAAGACGACGAUGCGUAGGGGUUCUGAGAGGAAGGUCCCCCACACUGGUACUGAGACACGGACCAGACUCCUACGGGAGGCAGCAG